UGUCCAGGGGCGGGAAUCGAACCCACAACCUUCUGCUUACCGGGCAGGUGCCAUGUCCACUAGGCUACCCUGAC
RNAcentral lists this transfer RNA (74 nucleotides) under Cordylochernes scorpioides. Its description in RNAcentral is "tRNA-Thr". Lineage: Eukaryota; Metazoa; Arthropoda; Arachnida; Pseudoscorpiones; Chernetidae. The record is from RNAcentral.